Molecule: long non-coding RNA, 545 nt
Filed under: Equus asinus (donkey)
Lineage: Eukaryota; Metazoa; Chordata; Mammalia; Perissodactyla; Equidae
Description: lncRNA (ENSEASG00005035052.1)
Source: RNAcentral
AAACCGAUGAGAGGGAGGAAGGAACAGCGGGGCAAGCAAUGGCAACACAGAGCCAGUCACAGCCUGUGGACUAAAAGCCUCAGAGAGGAGGGACACUGCAGCUCAGGAACAGUCUCCUCAGGAGGAAUUGAGCACCGACGAUCCACAGUGAGAAGGGACAGCAUUUAAUGGAACUAUGGUCUCUGCACAAAACCAAAUCAGAAACCAGUUCCCACACACUUGCCUCUUGUUAGAACAUCCUCCUCACUGGCUGAAGAGAAACUAAGAGAACUCCUGGAAGAGCUGGCUCAGAGAUUUAAAUAGGCCAGGCCAGACCAGACGCACGGCCAGAAUCGCCUUAGAGAAGACAAGACGGUGUGGACUAGGGGCCAGUGAGCAGACUCGAAAGAUGCCACUGUAGCAAUAAGGAACCUCCAUGGGAUGGGAACUUUUACCUUAAAAUAAAUAUGACUGGGGCUGGGAACAAGCUAACCUUCAUCUUCUGCAGCACAAUCUUUUCCUGUGUAGAUCUUAUUUGAGAAUGUGGUUUUCUUAAAAAUUCUACG